Molecule: ribosomal RNA, 482 nt
Filed under: uncultured bacterium
Lineage: Bacteria
Description: partial 16S ribosomal RNA
Rfam family: Bacterial small subunit ribosomal RNA
Source: RNAcentral
AUUGAACGCUGGCGGCAUGCUUUACACAUGCAAGUCGAACGGUAACAGGCCGCAAGGUGCUGACGAGUGGCGAACGGGUGAGUAAUGCAUCGGAACGUGCACAGUCGUGGGGGAUAACUACUCGAAAGAGUAGCUAAUACCUCAUACGAUCUAUGGAUGAAAGCGGGGGACCGUAAGGCCUCGCGCGAUUGGAGCGGCCGAUGUCAGAUUAGGUAGUUGGUGGGGUAAAGGCUCACCAAGCCAACGAUCUGUAGCUGGUCUGAGAGGACGACCAGCCACACUGGGACUGAGACACGGCCCAGACUCCUACGGGAGGCAGCAGUGGGGAAUUUUGGACAAUGGGCGCAAGCCUGAUCCAGCAAUGCCGCGUGCAGGAAGAAGGCCUUCGGGUUGUAAACUGCUUUUGUACGGAACGAAACGGCUCUGGUUAAUACCCGGGGCUAAUGACGGUACCGUAAGAAUAAGCACCGGCUAACUACGUG